This 446-nucleotide ribosomal RNA is filed under the name uncultured bacterium. RNAcentral describes it as "partial 16S ribosomal RNA". It matches the Rfam family "Bacterial small subunit ribosomal RNA", at positions 338 to 795 of the family's 1533-position model. The record is from RNAcentral.
CCUACGGGCGACAGCAGUCGAGAAUCAUUCACAAUGGGGGAAACCCUGAUGGUGCGACGCCGCGUGGGGGAAUGAAGGUCUUCGGAUUGUAAACCCCUGUCAUGUGGGAGCAAAUUAAAAAGAUAGUACCACAAGAGGAAGAGACGGCUAACUCUGUGCCAGCAGCCGCGGUAAUACAGAGGUCUCAAGCGUUGUUCGGAAUCACUGGGCGUAAAGGGUGCGUAGGCUGUUUCGUAAGUCGUGUGUGAAAGGCGCGGGCUCAACCCGCGGACGGCACAUGAUACUGCGAGACUAGAGUAAUGGAGGGGGAACCGGAAUUCUCGGUGUAGCAGUGAAAUGCGUAGAUAUCGAGAGGAACACUCGUGGCGAAGGCGGGUUCCUGGACAUUAACUGACGCUGAGGCACGAAGGCCAGGGGAGCGAAAGGGAUUAGAUACCCCAGUAGUC